CUACGGCCACAUCGCGUUGAAACACUCAUUCUUGUCUGAUCACUGAAGUUAAGCAAUAUUGAGCCUGGUCAAUACCUAGGUGGGUGACCACUUUGGAAUACCAGGUACUGUAA
Acanthosepion pharaonis is the source of this 113-nucleotide non-coding RNA. NCBI's taxonomy places the organism in Eukaryota, Metazoa, Mollusca, Cephalopoda, Sepiida, Sepiidae. The record is from the annotation of a GenBank genome assembly.